Non-coding RNA from Podospora didyma, 103 nucleotides. The record is from the annotation of a GenBank genome assembly. Lineage: Eukaryota; Fungi; Ascomycota; Sordariomycetes; Sordariales; Podosporaceae.
GGGCGUGUGGCUCAGUUGGUAGAGCGUUCGCUUAGCAUCUCAUCGUCCCUCACAGACGAUCUUCCGAUGCGAAAGGUCCUGGGUUCGAUUCCCAGCCCGUCCA